AUAGCGUAUAUUAAAGUUGUUGCAGUUAAAAAGCUCGUAGUUGAACUUCAGACCUGGCUGGAUGGUCUGCCGAAAGGUAUGUACUGUCUGGCUGGGCCUUACCUCUUGGUGAGCCGGCAUGCCCUUCACUGGGUGUGUCGGGGAACCAGGACUUUUACCUUGAGAAAAUUAGAGUGUUCAAAGCAGGCCUAUGCCUGGAUACAUUAGCAUGGAAUAAUAGAAUAGGACGUGUGGUUCUAUUUUGUUGGUUUCUAGAAUUGCCGUAAUGAUUAAUAGGGAUAGUUGGGGGCAUUGGUAUUCAGUCGCUAGAGGUGAAAUUCUUGGAUUGACUGAAGACCGACUAUUG
RNAcentral lists this ribosomal RNA (346 nucleotides) under uncultured eukaryote. RNAcentral's name for it is "SSU rRNA". It matches the Rfam family "Eukaryotic small subunit ribosomal RNA", at positions 594 to 945 of the family's 1831-position model. The record is from RNAcentral.